RNAcentral lists this transfer RNA (76 nucleotides) under Legionella norrlandica. RNAcentral describes it as "tRNA-OTHER". It matches the Rfam family "tRNA". From Rfam's summary of the family: Transfer RNA (tRNA) molecules are approximately 80 nucleotides in length. Their secondary structure includes four short double-helical elements and three loops (D, anti-codon, and T loops). Further hydrogen bonds mediate the characteristic L-shaped molecular structure. tRNAs have two regions of fundamental functional importance: the anti-codon, which is responsible for specific mRNA codon recognition, and the 3' end, to which the tRNAs corresponding amino acid is attached (by aminoacyl-tRNA synthetases). tRNAs cope with the degeneracy of the genetic code in two manners: having more than one tRNA (with a specific anti-codon) for a particular amino acid; and 'wobble' base-pairing, i.e. permitting non-standard base-pairing at the 3rd anti-codon position. Lineage: Bacteria; Pseudomonadati; Pseudomonadota; Gammaproteobacteria; Legionellales; Legionellaceae. The record is from RNAcentral.
CGCGGGGUGGAGCAGCCUGGUAGCUCGUCGGCUCAUAACCCGAAGGUCGUAGGUUCAAAUCCUGCCCCCGCUACCA